This 483-nucleotide ribosomal RNA is filed under the name uncultured bacterium. Its description in RNAcentral is "partial 16S ribosomal RNA". It matches the Rfam family "Bacterial small subunit ribosomal RNA", at positions 28 to 523 of the family's 1533-position model. The record is from RNAcentral.
GACGAACGCUGGCGGCGUGCUUAACACAUGCAAGUCGAACGAUGAAGCCGGAGCUUGCUCCGGUGGAUUAGUGGCGAACGGGUGAGUAACACGUGAGCAAUCUGCCCUUGACUCUGGGAUAACUGCGGGAAACUGUAGCUAAUACUGGAUACGACAACUUGGGGCAUCCCAGGGUGUGGAAAGAAUUUCGGUCAAGGAUGAGCUCGCGGCCUAUCAGCUAGUUGGUGAGGUAAUGGCUCACCAAGGCGACGACGGGUAGCCGGCCUGGGAGGGUGACCGGCCACACUGGAACUGAGACACGGGCCAGACUCCUACGGGAGGCAGCAGUGGGGAAGAUUGCACAAUGGGCGAAAGCCUGAUGCAGCAACGCCGCGUGAGGGAUGAAGGCCUUCGGGUUGUAAACCUCUUUUAGCAGGAAAGAAGCGAAAGUGACGGUACCUGCAGAAAAAGCACCGGCUAACUACGUGCCAGCAGCCGCGGUAA